GAUGAACGCUGGCGGCGUGCCUAAUACAUGCAAGUCGAGCGAACAGACGAGGAUCUUGCUCCUCUGACGUUAGCGGCGGACGGGUGAGUAACACGUGGAUAACCUACCUAUAAGACUGGGAUAACUUCGGGAAACCGGAGCUAAUACCGGAUAAUAUAUUGAACCGCAUGGUUCAAUAGUGAAAGACGGUUUUGCUGUGACUUAUAGAUUGAUCCGCGCCGCAUUAGCUAGUUGGUAAGGUAACGGCUUACCAAGUCAACGAUGCGUAGCCGACCUGAGAGGGUGAUCGGCCACACUGGAACUGAGACACGGUCCAGACACCUACGGGAGGCAGCAGUAGGGAAUCUUGCGCAAUGGGCGAAAGCCUGACGGAGCAACGCCGCGUGAGUGAUGAAGGUCUUCGGAUCGUAAAACUCUGUUAUUAGGGAAGAACAAAUGUGUAAGUAACUAUGCACGUCUUGACGGUACCUAAUCAGAAAGCCACGGCUAACUACGUG
Molecule: ribosomal RNA, 497 nt
Filed under: uncultured bacterium
Lineage: Bacteria
Description: partial 16S ribosomal RNA
Rfam family: Bacterial small subunit ribosomal RNA
Source: RNAcentral